RNAcentral lists this long non-coding RNA (835 nucleotides) under Pogona vitticeps (central bearded dragon). RNAcentral describes it as "lncRNA (ENSPVIG00000019267.1)". Lineage: Eukaryota; Metazoa; Chordata; Lepidosauria; Squamata; Agamidae. The record is from RNAcentral.
GUUUUGUUUUGUUUUGAAUCCUCUUUUAAAACAUGUUUUGCAUAAUUCUUUACAUUAGCUGGAAGAGGCUGUGGAAAAACAGUUCAGCAGUGGUCAUAAGAUGAGGCUUGCUACGAGCAAUUUCCUUACUGUGCCGGUCCUAAAGGUCAAUCAUAGAUGACACAUUUUCCAAGGAGGAAGUAACAGACUCACUGGCUGGCAGACGUGCAAGAUAAACGGGCAAAGUGCAGGGGCUCUUUGGAAGUGAAUCAGCACUCCAGCCUGUUUCCUGCCAGGGACUGAAUCCUACAAUCACUGUGCCCAAUGGAAUGUCUCCUCAGAAGCUGCUUUUGGCCAUGGAGUGGGACGGGAGACGUAUCUGCUCUUCUGAUCCAUAUUUGCUGCCCUUCUUGUUUGCAAAAGAAAGAAAGAAAGAAAGAAAGAAAGAAAGAAAGAAAGAAAGAAAGAAAGAAAGUGAUAAUUUUAUUCAUGUACCUCAUUUGCAAAACGCAAUUUGGUUCAGUCAUAACACCAGUCUAUCAAGCAUGGUACCUUGAUUGCAGAAUCAUUUGAAAUCAAGCUCAUUUUCAGAAAAGGAGCCUACAUAAAUGCAUAAAGAUGUCUGUUUGUAAUAGCAUGUGCUUUCUCUCACCUCUGUAGCUUGCAUUUCAAUUACAUGUCGCAAUACUCCUGUUUUUGCUUCAGGUUUGGCAUGUUUGAAAGCAAUUUAAAAACCUCCAGUUACAUGACAUCUAGCUAACCAUGCAUUUUUUUCAGCUGUGAAAUGAGGUUUUAAAAAUAUGUGUGUAGGGGAGGGGUGGUAUUUUAAAUAAAUUCUGGUCACACUUCUUUUUCA